RNAcentral lists this ribosomal RNA (275 nucleotides) under uncultured prokaryote. RNAcentral's name for it is "partial 16S ribosomal RNA". It matches the Rfam family "Bacterial small subunit ribosomal RNA", at positions 524 to 800 of the family's 1533-position model. The record is from RNAcentral.
UACGUAGGGGCGAGCGUUGUCCGGAUUUAUUGGGUUUAAAGGGUGCGUAGGCGGUCUUUCAAGCCAGAAGUGAAAGGCUACGGCUCAACCGUAGUAAGCUUUUGGAACUGUAAGACUUGAGUGCAGGAGAGGAGAGUGGAAUUCCUAGUGCAGCGGUGAAAUGCGUAGAUAUUAGGAGGAACACCAGUAGCGAAGGCGGCUCUCUGGACUGUAACUGACGCUGAGGCACGAAAGCGUGGGGAGCAAACAGGAUUAGAUACCCCCGUAGUCCCUGA